UACCAGCACCCCGAGUGGUCGGGACGAUUAUUGGGCCUAAAGCAUCCGUAGCCGGUUUUACAAGUCCUCCGUUAAAUCCAGCUGCUUAACAGAUGGGCUGCGGAGGAUACUAUAAGACUAGGAGGCAGGAGAGGCAAGCGGUACUCAGUGGGUAGGGGUAAAAUCCGUUGAUCCAGUGAAGACCACCAGUGGCGAAGGCGGCUACCUGGACCAAUACUGACACUCAGGUGCGACAGCGUGGGGAGCAAACAGG
Molecule: ribosomal RNA, 253 nt
Filed under: uncultured bacterium
Lineage: Bacteria
Description: partial 16S ribosomal RNA
Rfam family: Archaeal small subunit ribosomal RNA
Source: RNAcentral